CCUCUUAAUUAUGCAAGUAGGAAAUCCUGAUUUGUUUUUAUACUUGGGGAGUUGUUAGAGCCAUGAAAACAGGCUGAUUAGCAACACUUAGACUAUAGUUGAUUGCUGUGCUAAGUAGGAGAAAAUGUCACUUGAUUAAUAGGUUUUGGAAGCAGAAAAGUAACGUGUGUGAAAUUUCUUUUGCAGCUUAAUUGUAGCCAGCAAGUUUCAUCCCACUCCUUUAUUACUUUCUUUACUGGAAUUUGUUGCUCCUUCAAGGCCUUUUGUUGUCUACUGCCAGUAUAAAGAGCCAUUAUUAGAAUGUUACACAAAGCUGAGGGAACGAGGCGGUGUUAUUAACCUAAAGCUGUCUGAAACCUGGCUACGAAACUACCAGGUCUUACCGGAUCGAAGCCAUCCAAAGCUGACGAUGAGUGGAGGUGGAGGGUACCUUCUAUCUGGUACAACUGUUGUCUUGGAUAAGGGCAAAUCUGAUUCCAGUAAUUUAGAAGCGCUGAAGAUGGAAGAGCCGUCAACUAAAAGAUGCAAAGUUCAAGACCUUCCUUGUUAACAUUUGAAGAAUUGCUUUGAUUUUUAGAUCUCAGGAGUCUUACUGUUAGUAAAACAACAAGUAUACUUUCUGUGCUCUUGACAGCACAGAAAUUGUACCUGUCACACACCUGUCAGCAAAAAGCAGCAGAACUGUGUGGUAGGAAGGAUUGUCUCACUCUGAACCAGUUUCCAUGAUCAGAAUAAGAAAAACCCUUGGAAGCAAAAAUCCCCCUGAAAACGCACUGACUUCAGAAAGAAGAGGAAGCAUCAUUCUGAUUGCUUGUUGCCAGAAGUGGAUAUGACGAAGGCAUCUUUUUAAAGGUCGAGCCCAAAUCAAGACAUCUAACUUAGCUUCCCGUUCUCUCAGAGCAGCAUCAGGGUGAAACAUCCUACGUGGUGAUCUGCUCCUUAUUUGGACACCGAACCCAGCCACGUUUAGUAACGUGAGGAAGUGGAAUGAACUGCAAAAAUGCUACACUUUUCUUUCCAGAAGAACAAUAGAGAAUACUAAUACCAGAACUUUACAGCAUGACCCAUGUUUUCCUGAAAUCCAGAAGAGAAAGUGCAUGUUCAUAAAUUAAAAUACCAAAUAUUUAAACAGAA
This is a long non-coding RNA of Tyto alba (common barn owl), 1134 nucleotides long. RefSeq lists it as uncharacterized. Lineage: Eukaryota; Metazoa; Chordata; Aves; Strigiformes; Tytonidae. The record is from RefSeq and is a predicted model, not a curated record. The transcript has 3 exons.